RNAcentral lists this microRNA precursor (61 nucleotides) under Canis lupus familiaris (dog). RNAcentral describes it as "Cfa-Mir-3085_pre stem-loop". The record is from RNAcentral. Lineage: Eukaryota; Metazoa; Chordata; Mammalia; Carnivora; Canidae.
AGGUGCCAUUCUGAGGGCCAAGAGUUUGAUUAUGUGUCACUCUGGCUGCUAUGGCCCCCUC